This 253-nucleotide ribosomal RNA is filed under the name uncultured prokaryote. RNAcentral's name for it is "partial 16S ribosomal RNA". It matches the Rfam family "Bacterial small subunit ribosomal RNA", at positions 525 to 777 of the family's 1533-position model. The record is from RNAcentral.
ACGGGGGGGGCAAGCGUUGUUCGGAAUUACUGGGCGUAAAGGGCUCGUAGGUGGCCAACUAAGUCAGACGUGAAAUCCCUCGGCUUAACCGGGGAACUGCGUCUGAUACUGGAUGGCUUGAGUUUGGGAGAGGGACGCGGAAUUCCAGGUGUAGCGGUGAAAUGCGUAGAUAUCUGGAGGAACACCGGUGGCGAAGGCGGCAUCCUGGCCAUGUCCUGACGCUCAGGGGCGAAAGCGUGGGGAGCAAACCGGA